ACUUGAGCCCGAGCAGUAAAAAGCUCUCUACCUAUUGGCCGAUGUGUUUUCCGAUGCUAGACACAGGGAUGCAGAGAGGAAGGGGUUGAGGAGCUGGAGAUGGCAAGUGGUGAUGGAGCAAGAUGCGCCGACCGGGAGAUCGAGGGUGAAUAGCAGUGAGGACGACCGAGGAUUAGCAGUGUCCUUCCACUGGCCCCAGUGACUGCAUCAGGAGCCAAAGACAGACUGAAUAACAUGAUGAAAGUAGAUUCGCGGCUCUACAAAGACUCCAAUCAAAAGUUCUACCAUACCUAUGAGGAACAUCUUGAGAACUCUAGCAAAAGGACUUACAGGAUCUGUUACCUCUUUACCAUCCCUCUGUAAGCUUGAGCCCAGUUUCCCUUGGGCUUUAUAUAUACUGUAAAUAUUCAGGUGAUCUGAAAGACAAAGCUGUUGUUGUUUGUCCUUCAUUCUCGAAGAGAAUGGAAGACAGAGCAGCAAUGUGAAGACAUGGAACUCAGGAGAAAGAAGAGAACUGGAUAUGUAAAUCUGGGAGUUGUCUGUGUAGAAAUUAUAUUUAAAUGCAUGGGAGCUAAUGAAUUUGGUUACCAAGAGACAUAUCAUAUAGACAAGUUAAUAGUAGGGCCAAGGUUAUAGCCUUAGGUAACAAUCACAGUGAGGGAGUAGGACAUGGGUGAUUAUAUAGCAAAGGAGAUUCAAAAAUAACAAUGACAUAGAAUAGAAGCAGAAGAAUCAAGAGAGAACAGAAUUUCAGAAGCUAAAGGAGGAAAGAGCAUCCAGAAGAAAGGUACAGUCAGCAGUAUCAAACACUGCACCGAUGUCAAGUAGAAUUAGGACUAAGAUAAAUGGACUUAACAGUUAAAAGAACCUUGGUAACCUUAGAGAGUCGGUUUUAGUUGAGUGAUGGGUUUGGAAACCAGAGUCUUAGUGAUUACAAAAGUAUUUCAAGUGGAAUAGGAAGUGAGGAAAUGGAGGCAUUGGUAACACUGCCUUGGCCAUACCUAAUCCAACCAUCCCCAGGAUCAAAAGGCUAGAGAUGGUUUUAGGUGGAGGUCUCCCACAGUUCCCCUCCUCAGUCUCUUGGGGAGAUUUUCCCCAGAAAUUGGGACUGGGAGAGAGCCUGAUUUAGAUUGACAAGAUAGCCCCUCACAUUCUAAAGAACUGUGGGGAAGAGGAGAAGCCACAUGAAACCUGGAGAAGGGAGUCAUGUGUUCAGUUCUAAGGACCUCAUUUUAGGAAGGAACUGAUGAACAGUACUGCAACCAGAAAAGGGAAAACGGGAUGGUGAACAGACUGGAGACCCUCCCAUAAAAAAAUCUACAGAACAAAGUUGGGAUUUUUAGCUUGGAGAAGAGAAAACUUACAGGGGACAUUAUAGCUGUCUUUAAGAGUUUGAAGGGCAGAGAAAGGAUCAGACUUGUUCUUUUCUAUCCCAGAGGAUAAAACCAGGAGCAAUAGGUAGAAAUUGCAAAGAGGUAAAUUUAGACUUGAUGCCAAGAAAAACUUCCUCACAAUGAGUUGUCCUAGAAUAGAAAGGACUCCCUUAAGAAGUGCUGGGCUCCCCCCUCCUCGGAGGUCUUCACAUCGAAGCUGAAUGACUGCUUGUUGGGUGUAUCAUAGUGGAGAUGUCUUUCAUCUGUGAGUUGCACUAGAUGGUUACUGAGGUCCCUUCCGACUUUCAAAUUCUUUAAUGCUGUUGUGUGCGUUAACUCUCCUCUUCACACUGAAGGGAGGACUCAAACUACACUGCCUAGAACUGGCUGGGGACAAAGGGAGACUUCCCAGGUUUAGGAGAGUGAUGAGCUCUCAGCUGCUUGGUAGAUAUAUAUUUAUUAUUAUAUGUUGUGUUAUCUGGCUAUUCAGUACUACUUACUUACGUAUUGAGUCUUUAUUAAGAGCAAAACUGUUAUGUUAAAAAUGUAUCUUUGUUCUGGUCUUCUUGACCAACCCUCCCCACCCCCCCACCCCAUCUCUCCACACCCUCACCCAGAAUCCAAUCAGCAGGUUUAUAAGUAGCCAGUAUAAAAUAUAUAUAAAUUAUAUUAUAAAAUAAGAUUGCCAAGGGGAACCUGGAAGUCAUGUAUAAAUCAUCCCAAAGAUCAAAGGAGGAUUAUUUACAAAUUGUAUCAUAUAUUAACUAAUAUUCACAUCCUGGUAAUAUGUGAUCAAUCAGGAAGAGCCAUCUAGGUGCUGCUUGUCAAGGUUUCUGGUCCUAUGAUAUGUAAAUUCCAGACAAAUUCCAGACCUCCACAGCUCUAGACUAGUACAACAUCAAAAAGUACUGAUACCUUUGCAGUUUUACCCAUAACUUUGAGAUGAUUUGAAUACGUUGAUAAACUAACUCCUGUAUGGCACAGAUAGAAGUUGCUCUGUUUCCCAAAAAAAAACCCUAUAAAAAUGAGACCUCAAAGUCCUACACUGUAAGUAAAGUGAAUUUUAGUGUGUACAAAGUGGAUUUUUUGUUACUCUUUCUUAGAGUUUUCUUCCCAGGAUCUAUAGCCAUAACAAUCUCUACUUCCCAGGUGUUAGAUAUGAGUUCUCACGAUCAUGGUUCAAGACACUUUCUACUGUACAACCACACAGUAAAUAUGGGGAUGAAGUGGUGUAAAAUUGUGAGGCUAUUGCUGGCAGUAUGCCUUCUUUGUCUGUUGCCCUAUAAAGCAAGUGGGUACUGGUCAGUGACUAGGGACCCCCGUAGGGGUGAAUGUGCAGGCUGAAUGCUGUGCCUACCCCCAUCAAGGCCUGGCUGGGGUGGGGUGGGGGGCGCCACUGAGGCUUGAGGGGAUUCAGGGGGAGUACACAAGUUGUGCUGGUCUCAGUUGGCCCCAUUGAAAUGAGGCAUACUUGCCCCACUUCACACCAGCCCCUGAAAGAGGGGUCAUUAGGGAAUACUGUAGGAGUUGGUGCUCCCAUUAUCAGCAAACUCCCUUUGAGAGGACUAGACUUGAAUAAAGUAAGCUUAUUUAACCCCUUAUUAUGACUCCAUUCCUGUCUUCCUGUCUGACCAGAUCAAAAGAGAACCUGCUAGUAAGAAAGGUGCUAGAAGCCCUCCUGUGUCUCCUUCCUAAGAAAUGGCUUAGUAGGUGUAUUUAUUUGUCCAACAUACACUCAAACCCCCGUGCUCUUCCAUCAGGUCCAUGCUACCUAGUGCUCCCAACUCCAGUCCAUGCUUACAUGACUGAUAUUCUUUGCCUUUCCUCCUCCCCAUCUUCUUUUCCAGGCUACCUACCUUUACCAUCCCAUCCCUUGUUUCCAUACCGCUGUCUGCCUCUGUAUCCCUCCCCACUUUUUGACACUUGUCUCUGGCUUUAUGGGCUUUUUACCCCCAUAUCCUCUGUCUUUAAAGUGUGAAUGCUGCCAUUUUCCACAGCCAAUUGUGGUCCCAAUAAGUACCCAAAGAACUGGGUUGUACCUGCCCCCAUUUCAUAAUUUUAUAAAUUCAUAAUCAAUUCAAAUAGGAUGUAUAGCAUUCUAACAUGUGAUAGGAUAUAUGGUAGAAACUAGCUCCAUUAUGCUAUAGUCACUGACUAGGGAUCACUGAAAUCGGAAUGCCCAAAAAGAGGCAGGGGCUGUGAGUUAAGUUCUAAUGGAUAGAUUUCACAUGUGAACCACCACCUGGAGUGAGAGUCGAAGAUAAAGGAUAAGAAGCCUCAGACUUUCUGAUCACCAUACAGCAUAGCACUUAUUAAACAUGAACACUUCCACUCAGCAGGAAAUAUACAAACUUCCAGGGUGAGUAAGGAAGUCAACAGUAUCUAUCAGUGCUGUCUGGUGGUUAAAUUUAAAACACGAAUAAUAUUUGCAGGGUGGCUGUCAUAAAAGCCUUUUGUAAAGUGUGAUGUAAAAGUCAGCCAUUACAAUUAUUAAAUCACUUCUUCAAAAGCAAUUUGGAAUUUUUUUUAAAUCUGCACUUUUCUUCCAGUGUUUGGAUAGUGACUAAACUUUAAUUUUUUUUUUAAUAAGCAAUGAAACACAAAGAAGCCCCAGAAUAUGGGUAGUUUUAUUUUAUAAGUUAAGAAUUAAUGAAAUGCUAUUAGGGAAAUAUUAGGAAAGCUAUUCAAGCUCUAAGUGAAAUUAUGCUAUUUUAGGUAAAAAUUCCUGGGACUGUAAAUUUACUGUUGUUUUGAGUUUUGAUUCCUGGGAUAGUUAUCUGAACAGUCAUAAAGCCAAUAGCAGAAAGUGACAUGUGUGGCAGUCUGAGAACUGCUUAAAGGUAGAUGUUUGUGCCUGGGAAAGGUUGUGAGGAUAACCUAGGACACAGCCUGCAUAGGAUCCUCCUGACUCUAUUUCCCCAUUGUGCUAUUUCCUUGCUGAAAAGAAAAAUUCCCCAUCUGGUUAAUCCCAAGCCUUGCCUUUGACACUCUCUGGCUACAUUAUUGGCUGUUAGAUAUGACUCAUGCCUGUAAUCAAAUAAAGCUAAGAGAAUUUUUCCCCAACAGAACUAAGGGAGUUUUUCCCUCUGUUACAAUAUAAUUAUAUCCCUCUUUUUGCUUUUGUAGCAAAUUUCUAUAAUCAAGAAGUUUUAUAAAUAACCACACUAAGUUUAUUAAAUAAUAGAUUGAUACUGGAACAUCUGUGAGUUAUUAUAAUAGGAUUCAAGUAUGAACAUCUUACAGUUUUAACCUAUAUUUAUGGUCAAUUUAUAAGGACGAUAUCCUUUAAAAGGGGGAAAUUAUUAGACAAGGUGAUAAGACAAAGAUGUUAAUGUUUAAGUUUUCUUGGUUACCUUGAUGACAUGUAAAUCUCACUUCUCAGAACUAGUCCAUUGUGAGCCCUCCAAUAAUUUGAUCUGUACCUGACUUAAUGUAAUUAUGCAAUUAUGGUAAUUGUGAGAAAAACUUUAUUGCAUUGUUUAAUCCUACAUCUUCUGAAGCAAGCCCCUGCUCCUGGACGAAGAAGCAGCCCACAUCCAGAUGAGACAGCUGUCCCAAGUUUCCAAAGGAAGACCGAGUCUACUCUCUUAGCUUUUUUUUCUCUCUCUCUCCCCCUUUUGUUAUGCAGCCAAGCACCAAAGUCGCAUUCAAGCCUGUGUUGGCAUUUUCUCACUGUGACAUUGUUGGGCCCCAUCCCCCUUUCAAACAAUGGUUAGCAAUGACACCUGGGAUAUACUUCCCUGACAGGUCCCCUUAAGGAACUAACCCCUUGGACAAUAUCCCAUGGCACCUUGGUUUAUAACUGCCUCUCCUUUAUUGGCCAUAAAGGGUAGGGGGUUUUUCAGACACCCCCCCCCCCUUUGGCCAAAAAAGGGGAAAUGUCAAAAUAUUUUGGAGAUACUCUGUUUCCCAGAGCUAAGGCCCAGCAAGCGGGCUGUAUCCUGAGCUUGACAUAACAAUAAUCCUUUGUGCUCAGGAUGAUAUCACCCUCUGGCAAAGUAUUUUACUUGGACCAGCAGCAGGUAUUAACUGAGGGAUUAAGCUCCCCUUAUUUCCCAGGGCCAUUCAUCACAUAUUCACAAUACCUGUUUCUUGUCACUGCCAGGUACUACACUCCUGUUCCUGUGACAGAACUCUGGUUCUGUGCCCCACAAGGUAGGCAAGACCCCCAAGACGUGAGACAAUACUGUUUCCCCAAGGCCCAUGGGAACAGUAACUCAGGACCUAAAAAUGAUUAUAUCAUGGUCCAGUCAAGGAUCUAUAUAAGACUUGCUUUUAGUCUAGCUGGAGGUGGGGAGGAGGGGGGCCUUCUCUAUGUAUAUGACAUUUUCCUCAAUCUGAAAUUAAUUAAACUUCUGUUUUGUG
Long non-coding RNA from Phascolarctos cinereus (koala), 5738 nucleotides. RefSeq lists it as uncharacterized. The record is from RefSeq and is a predicted model, not a curated record. Lineage: Eukaryota; Metazoa; Chordata; Mammalia; Diprotodontia; Phascolarctidae.